AGGCAAUUGCUUCCAGCGUGCAUAACUCUAUUGCGAAAUCGGCUACAGUUUGAUUUCCCUGACGGAGAUUCCACAAUCUCUCGGCUACCUCAGCUGGGGAUUCUGAACGAUCGAAGGUUUGCUUAAAUUCAGUUAGGAAUCGUGAGAGCGGACCGCGCAGAAAACCGGUGUCAUGGCUCCUGGCUCAGCCCAAUCUAAAGCCUUGCCAUGGAGUAGCCCGAUAAUUAGAGCUGAAACAACUAAUCGAUUUAAUCGAUUAUAAUCGAUUAUUAAAAUAGUUAACAACUUUUUUAGUCAUCGAUUAGUUGUUUAAUAAUCAUAUUUUACCGCAUAAAGUCUAUUUUUACCACAAUCUGACAUCGGUUACAAGCUGUUAAAUUUGCCGCCAGUGUGUGGCAGUAAUGAGCCACUGAUCUACCAGUGGAGCCGUAGAAGAAGAAAUGAGCCAAUGAGUGCCCUCGGUUUUCAUGACGUAUCACGUUACUGACGCUCAUCUUGCUGUGAGAGAUGGCGGAACAAGAGGAAAUACGGAAGAAAAUAGAAGCGACAAAACUUUAGAGAAACCCCGGACAAAAACCUCACGAGUAUGGGAGCACUUCAGUCUAGAUGCCUUGAAAAGGCAAAAUAUGCAAAAACCAUCUAGCAUGGCACGGAAGCACGACGUCCCUAAGUGAACAUUUGAGACGAAAACGUGGGGGCUGAGGAAGAGCACCGCGGUCAAGUGAGCCGUCAUUUGGAAGAGCCAGCCCGAAAAAAACAAGCAACGAUGGACAACUACAUGGGGAACAAGACACUCACCCCCCAGCAAUUCAUACCACUUACAAACUCUAUUCUAAACAUGCUGGUAAAAGACAUGAGGCCACUAUCCAUGGUGGAAGGAGCAGGCUUCCAGCUAAUGCUAAAAAAUUAUUCUGGACUGAUAUUUUGCACUGUUUAGCUCAUUUUCUACUGCUGACUGUGUUCAUGUGCAAUAAAAUAGAUUGCAGUCAACUGCACAA
Molecule: long non-coding RNA, 998 nt
Organism: Nothobranchius furzeri (turquoise killifish)
Lineage: Eukaryota; Metazoa; Chordata; Actinopteri; Cyprinodontiformes; Nothobranchiidae
Source: RefSeq, a predicted model, not a curated record